AAGUUUAGGUUACUCCUAAACCUAGGACCUUCAAAGUCCUGAACAGGGGGCUCAAACCCCUAACUUCCG
This 69-nucleotide transfer RNA is filed under the name Pachydactylus oculatus. RNAcentral's name for it is "tRNA-Trp". Lineage: Eukaryota; Metazoa; Chordata; Lepidosauria; Squamata; Gekkonidae. The record is from RNAcentral.